Molecule: RNA transcript, 1639 nt
Organism: Armigeres subalbatus
Lineage: Eukaryota; Metazoa; Arthropoda; Insecta; Diptera; Culicidae
Exons: 3
Source: RefSeq, a predicted model, not a curated record
AAUGUUCAGGAGCGUCGCGAAAAGUCUCGUCCGUCUCGUUGCGUCGUGAAAAUAAAAGAAAUUACUACGAGUUUCAUCCGGAUUCCCAAAAUCCGUUUUAUGGGGCAAACGAUGAUUCGAUCCGAGAAGCAUUGCGAUAUUUGUGGAAUACGUGAAGGGGCGAACGGAGAAGCGCACCUGAUCAAAUGCGACGGAGGGUUCUACGUAAAGUAUUACUGGUCGGAGAUCAUCUCGAAGGAACUGAUUCUGAUGUGCUUGGUAUUGCUGCCAUUUGCGGUGUUCCGACCGUGCGGGAAUGCCAUACAGCGCCCUCAGCGUUGAAUUGAUGACGAUGUACAUACUGACAAAAUCCUAUGGCAAGGUUCCAUCCAUCUGGUGACUAAUUUUCUAUGAUCUGGAAAAAGUUUUCUGCACGCAAAGCUGGUGCUGUCACCGCGGACAGUGGAGGAAAUUUCCGCAAAGGAUAUAUAUAAUUGACGAAGAAGACCGUACCUUGCAAGUAGGCCAUCUAAAAAUCUAUGAAGCACGAUACAAAGUUGAAUUGAAUCGCACUCCGGCGGGAAACUAAAUCGAAGGAAUCAAGCGUUAUGGACGUCAACAUGAACGAGGAUGUGUUUAUGCCGCUAAAAUUCAAUGCUCAGAAUAUCAUCGAAAUUGCGGUUGAACCGGUCAAUCUUUCGGAGCUGCCAAAAAUAUUGGAUGGGUGCGGCGGCGGCGAUAAUUCUCUACUGGUCCAUGGAUGUGCUGCGUCACGUUCUUCUCGCCUCGGUCUUGGAUCGAAAACCUUGGCUUCUCUCCCGAAUCGGCAGUAAACCUGUACCAAACUGCGGUAAUUUUUCCCGGGUACAUAGCGGCCGACUGCUAAACUGGUUAGUAUCCUUCAUACAAGAUUUGUCCUUUGCAAAUUUCAAUUUUGUUUCUUUUUUACAGCGCCCUCGUCACGGAAUGUUUUAAGCUCUUUAAGGUUUCCGUUUGGUGUUCUCGGGAGAUCCAGACGUCGAGCACCUGUUCCAACCUUUAAUGCGGCAAAUGCCUCCGGGUACAUAGCAGCCGACUGCUAAGCUGGUUAGUAUGCUUUAUAACCUUCGUCCUUCGCAAUUUUCAAUUUAUGUAGUUUACUCUCUUUACAGUGCCUUCAUCACGGAUUCUCGGAAAAACAUUCUCUUCCGGCUAUUUUGGGACGUUUCAAGUUUUCCGCUUGCUGUUCCCGGUAGAUCCCAGACUACGAGCACCGACGAGCACCACCACCACUCGGAUAAAUCCGCCAUUAUUUAUAUAAAUCUUUAGUUUAAUUAUUGAAAUAUAAUAAAAAUAAACAUCGAUGGGAUAAUUUAAAUGUAAACAACAACUCUAUGAGGGCUGGCUGGCCUCUUAUCACCUUUCUCUUUCAAGCGCAUAGGAAAUCCUAUUUUUUCUAUGCGCUUGAAAGAGAAAGAUGAUUAGACGUCAGCAAGCUCUGUUGGUGAAAAAGAAAUAAAACCAAGAAGAAGAACCCCAAAUCAGGAGCUCGAUGUGGCUUGACGUUCCGUAGCAGGACAUCGGACCCAUAUCAGGCUGAGACGUCAAAGCCAUUUCGCAUGUUCGAAGUCAGACGGGCUCGACGCAAACGGUGCAGAAUCGCGAGAUGUAAGGCGGAUCC